UUACCGGUUUGACAUGAAUGAAAGUCCGUUUGGCACAGGUGGUGCAUGGCUGUCGUCAGCUCGUGUCGUGAGAUGUUGGGUUAAGUCCCGCAACGAGCGCAACCCUAUUUUAGUUGCCUUGGACUCUAAAAGACUGCCGGUCAUAACCGGAGGAAGGUGGGGAUGACGUCAAGUCAGCAUGCCCCUUACGCUGGGCUACACACGUGCUACAAUGGCGCACAAGGGGCAUCGCGAGAUGAGCAAUCCCAAAACGUUCGUAGUCCGGAUCGGAGUCUGCAACUCGACUCCGUGAAGUCGGAAUCGCUAGUAAUCGCGAUCAGAUGCGCGGUGAAUACGUUCCCGGGCCUUGUACACACCGCCCGUCACACCAUGGGAGUGGGUGUCCGAA
This 388-nucleotide ribosomal RNA is filed under the name uncultured bacterium. Its description in RNAcentral is "bacterial SSU rRNA". It matches the Rfam family "Bacterial small subunit ribosomal RNA", at positions 971 to 1425 of the family's 1533-position model. The record is from RNAcentral.